GCCAGGUGUGGUGGCGCAUUCCUGGAAUCCCAGCUACUUGGGCUGAUUCAGAAGAAUGGCUUGAACCCAGGAGGCAGAGGUUGCAGUGAGCCGAGGUAGUGCAAUUGCAUUCCAGCCUGGGCAACAAGAGCGAAACUCUGUCUCAGAAAAAAAAAAAAAAAUUGUUCUUUCUCCCGGGAGUCAAGGAACAGCACAUUACGUAAGGUGGGGUGAAGGGAGGUUUCCAGGUUGGAAACAGAGCAGGUCAAAACUCCCAUGCUGAUCAGUAGUGGGAUCGUGCCUGUGAAUAACCACUGCCGUCCAGCAUUGGCAACAUAGUGAGACUCUAUCUCU
RNAcentral lists this non-coding RNA (333 nucleotides) under Pan troglodytes (chimpanzee). The record is from RNAcentral. Lineage: Eukaryota; Metazoa; Chordata; Mammalia; Primates; Hominidae.